CUUUAUCUUUGGUUUUGGCAGGUUUGAUGAUAUGUCUUGGUGAUUUUCUUUUGGGAUCUAUCUUGUAUGAGGUUCGAUGAGCAUCUUGGGUAGAUAUCUUUUCAUCUUUCACAAUGCCAGGGAAUUUUUCUGCCAUCAGAUCUUCCACUGUUCUCUCUGUAUUUUCUGUUAUCCCUCCCUGUUCUGGAACUCCAAUCACACGCAAAUUACUCUUCAUAGAGUCCCCCAUGAUUCUUAGGGUUUCUUCAUAGUUUUAAAUUCUAUUUGAUUUUUCUUCAACUAUAUUUGUGUCAAUUGUCUUAUCCUCCAGCUCCCCCACUCUGCAUUCCAGUUCCUCGAUUCUGCUCCUGUGACUUCCUAUUGAGUUGUCUGAUUCUGUGACUUUAUUGUUAAUCUUUUGGAUUUCUGAAUGCUGUCUCUCUAUGGAUUCUUACAGCUUAUUAAUUUUUUCACUAUGUUCUUGAAUAAUCUUUUGGAUAUCUUUAACUGCUUUAUCCGUGUAUUCCUUGGUGUUUUCUGUAGAUUGCCUUAUUUCAUUUGUGAGGUCAUUCCUGAUGUCUUGAAGAAUUCUGUAUAUAAUUUUUUUAUAUUCUACAUUUGGCAAUUCUAGGAAUGUAUCUACAUCUGGGAAUGAUUUUGAUUCUUUGAUUUGGGGGUUUGUAGAAGCAAUCAUGGUCUGCUUCUUCAUGUGAUUUGAUGUCGACUGCUGUCUCUGAGCCAUCUAUAAGAUAUUGUAAUAUUUUCUUUUAUAUUUGCUCACUGAGUCUUAUCUUCUUAUUUUGUUUUGUUACAAGACACCCAGAUGGGCUACUAGAUUGUGGUAUCGUGAUUGAUUUAGCUUUUGAAUCACUUACGUCCUAUUACCAGCUUGCCUGAGCUGUUACCAGGUAUAUAAGUGUAUGAGUCCAUUCACUAUUCUUGAAUAGAAUCAGCUCAGGUGUCCUGAUAGCUGGUCACCUAGUGUGUGGUGUAGGCUCUCACGUAUUAUCUUAGAGGAGUAGUGGUGAUGGUUGUAUGCACCAGUUUCUAUUAGUGGCAUGGGGUCACAUUUCGAGGAGGGCAGGAUGCUGACAGCCUUCCUUCAAGUGACAGUGAGGUAGGUGUGGCUCUAUUCUCUAGAGCACUCCGGUGGGUGGGCUUUGCAGCUGUAUCUUAGGCACCCAAUGCUUGGGUAGGCGUCACUAUUCUCAGACCCCUCUAGCAGGUGGCUAGGUGAUGUGGGUGGAGUCUCAGCCCUCAGUUCACUGGUGUGGAUCAGCGAGGGCUCUGUUUAAUAGGUAGAGAGAUAUCUGACCUCCAAAACUUGCCUUUCCACUGCUGAGCUAAAACAAUUAUGGUCAGAUCUCUAUCAGAAUUGCCUUUACAUUGUAAUAGCCACCUAGUUACCUGUAGGGUGAAAGCCAAAGACUAUGGGUCUGUUAAUGCCUGGAUGGAGCUGAUUCUGUACUGUUAUUUCAGUUUAGGGAAGUCAGGGAAGGAUUUUUUCUUUGAUUGUUAAAUGCUGCUUUUCUCAGGCCAGGAGAAUGGGUUAGAAAAGAAAGAAGAAAAAAAAUCCAGCAGUGCACUUCACUCUCUGGCACAGAGAAUUCCAAUGUUAAUGAAGCUGGCUGGGGCAAUGAGGGGUGGAAUCAGAUAUAUAGAAGAGAGUAGCCUGGCAAAAUAUACAAAGUUACUUAUGUUGUUUGGUGAGGACUGUUUUUUCUGAGAUUCCAGAGCAUUGUGUCGCUCGUGUGUGGUGGCUGGAUCCCUGCUGAGACUGUCCCAGAGGGUUAGGGCUGCGUCCAUGCUCACACCGUCUCAGGAAGCCACAAUCGGCUCCCCCACACUUAGUCCAAAGCCCAGCACCAGGGUUUCCUUUCUGGGACGCUGCACUCCAGGCUCCAGAACCAGUCGCUGCUUCCCUAUAGUUUUUCGUUUCCCUGUCAGCCACGUCUGUGUGGAGCCUGUGUGUGCUGCCUGGGUCCCCUCUGAGGUUGGUCCUGAGGGUUGGGCCUAUAUCUGUUCUUCCGUGUCUCAGUAAGCCACAAUCAGCCCCACCACUCUGACACCAGGAAACCACGAGGGCUCAAGGCUGUGGCGUGGGACACUGGCUCUGGAAGUGGUCCCUGCUGCAGCGUGGCUUUUCGCUCCCCCGUCACUCAGGUCAACUCCUUAGUUCUGUGUUUGAUGGUCAGGGUUUGUAGAUUGUCCUUUAUGUAAUCAGUUCACUUGUUUUUUCGAGUCUUUGUUUCAAGAGGGAUAAGCGGAAUCUUCUACCUAGUGAGCCAUCUUGGUCCUGCCCCCGUGUCUGCCUCUUUAUGUGAUUUGAUAUUGACUGUUGUCUCUGAGCCAUCUAUAAGUUAUUGUAUUAGUUUAUUUUAUGCUUGCUUUUUGUAUCCUAGCUUCUUGCUUUGUUUAGUUUUGGUAUACCCAAAUAAGCUGCUUGAGUGCACUAGGUUGAUUAUUUUCACCUUUGAAGCUCUAAUGUACUAUCACCAGAUGGCUAGCACUGUUACCAGGCAUAUGAGCCUAGGAGUUCAUUUAUUUUUCUUGUAUGGAUUCAACUCAGGUGCCCAGGUAGUUGGUCAUAAAGUGUGUGGUACGGGCUCUGUCCUACAGUCUUAAAGGGGCAGGGGUCAUUGGUGUAGGCAGAAGUAUCUGGCUGCAGUAGGGGGUCAGGCUCUGAUCAAGGCAGGGGUCUGACAGCUGUGCUCUGAGUGUCUGUGAGGAAAGUGCAUCCCUGUUCUGUAGAGCACAUGGGUGGGUUCUGCAGAAGGGCAGUGGGUACCCAAUGCUUUUGGUUGUAAGUUCUGGGCGGUACUACUUAUCCUUGGAGCCCUAUCACAGGUGGCUAGGUAUUGUGGGUGGAGCCAGCAGUCCUUAUGCCCCUGAUGUGGGUAGGUGAAGACCCUGUUUAAUAGGCAAAGCAGUGUCAAACAUCAAAUACCCAUCUUUCCACCGUUCAGGUGAAACAGUUGCAGUCUGGCAACAAGGGCCUAUUCUCCUGAAAUGGGCCCACACAGGUCCAUGCUGGGGUGAAAGGUAUUCAAAGCCCAUGGACUGUUUGUGCCUGAACAAGAGCUGCUUCUGUCCUGAGCUCCCCAGCUUAAUUGAGCUGGCAGAUUAUCUUUCCCCCAGUUGUGAACUUAUACCUUCUUCAAGGAUGGAAAAAUGGCUCAGAGUGGUACCAGGGCCUAUCUCAGGCCCAGGGAAGUUGACAGCCACUGAAGCCGGCUUGGGGGCUGGGGGCGUGGUAAAAUAAACACAAGUAAUUAGCUUUUGCUGAGAGUGCCGUUCUUCUCUUGUUCUGGAGGUGUGAGUAGUCUGUGCAACUUGCUGUCCUUCCCUGAGCUAAACGCCUGUGGAACGCCACUGCCAGCCCCACUGCAGUCGCUCCAGGGAACGGUGCCUGAGGGUUCCUGGCUAUUCAGGUCCAGUAACUCCUCUCCACUUCUGAAUAGUCUCUCCCUCCCCCUGCCGCUGAGUCCAUUUUCUAACUUUACCUUUGAUGUUCAGGGCUCCUAGCUUCUCAUAAAUAUAAUCGCUUCACUUGUUUUUUCUGGUCUUUUUUGUAAGAGGGAUCACUGGUGGCGUCUCAAUACUCAAAACUUCAUCAUUUCUUCCUUUCACUUUAGCUACUCGACAUUCAAGAGCAACGUUCAGAGUCUCUUCCGACAUCCGUUUUGGUCUUUUCUUUCUUUCCUGUCUUUUAAAGGAUCUCUUGCUUUCUUCAUGUGUGAUGUCCUUGAUGUCAUUCCACAACUCGUCUGGUCUUCAGUCGUUAGUGUUCAACACGUAAAAUGUGUUCUUGAGGUGGUCUCUAAAUACAGGUGAGAUAUACUCAAGGUCAUAUUUUGGCCCCUUUUGACUUAUUCUAAUUUUCUUCAGUUUCAACUUGAACUCCCAUAUGAGCAAUUGACAGUCUGUUUCACAAUUGAUCCCUGGCCUUGUUCUGACUGAUGAUAUGAGUUUUCCCAUCUUCUCUUUCCACAGAUGUAGUCAGUUUGAUUCCUGUGUAUUCCAUCUGGUAAAGUCCACGUGUAUAGCUGCCGUUUAUGUUGGUGAAAAAAAAUAUUUGCAGUGGAUGAGUCACUGGUCUUGCAGAAUUCUUUCAUGAGAUUUCUGGUGUCAUUUAUUUCAUCGAUGCUGUAUUUUCCAACUACUUUUCCUUCUUUGUUUCCAACUUUAACAUUCUAAUGACCAGUAAUUAUCAAUGCAUCUUGAUUGCAUGUUUGAUCAAUUUCAGGCUGCAGAAGUUGUUUAAAAUCUUCAAUUUCUUUAUCUUUGGCAUUAGUGGUUGGUGCAUCAAUUUGAAUAGUCGUAUAAACUAGUCUUCCUUGUAAGUGUAUGGAUUUUAGCCUAUUAGUGACAACAUUGUACUUCAGGCUAGAUCUUGAAAUGUUCUCUUUGAUGAUAUGUAACGUCAUUCUUUUGACUCUAGUGGAAUAUCCAUGUUUGUAAGACUGCUCACAGACUGUUUCACCAGAGAGUUUUCUGGUACCGCAACAUCUACCACUAAUCUCUGUGAUCCCUGUGAAUUGGCAAAAUAAGAAUAGUGCUAUAGAUUUCUUCCAAAUACAGAAAACAUAAGUAUGAAAAUGUUCUUGCUGUUGAUUAUAUUCUUUACCAAUCUGUUUGUGUGGGAUUUUUGGUACUUCACUUGAAAAAUGAGUCCAAGGUACUGUGAUGUGAUUGUUUACUUUGUGUGGCCUUUCUAGCCAUGGUCUUAUAACAUCCACCCUGGUGCUUGGGCAGGACUGUGUGAUAGGGUAAUUGUGGCUCACCAAGGGGAUUGUUUAUUUUCCCUUCAAAGAGAACCAGUUCCAGAGCAAAGAGGAGGAUUCAACUCCCAUCAAGGAAGAACAGCCAAGAGCCGAGCGUAUAUUAUGGACCUGAGAUCCCUGCACUGAGAAGCUCCUAGAAGCAAGAGACUGAGAUAGAGAGAGGAAGCUGUAACCCUGAAGAUGCUUAAAUACAGACCAGAAGAGGAGUUUGGGGCUUGACACCUGACAUCUUAACACCAGUUCCUGUUUCUUGAGGAAGGAAGAGGUAAAAUAAAUCAGCGUUUACUGUUUCCUUCUCCAUCCCCGGAAGUCCUGAUGAAGACCCUCUCAGGAGGGAAGAGGUAAAAAAGAAGGCAGUGUCUACUAUGUCCUUUGCCAUGUGUGUCAGGAAAUCCUCAUGAAGAGCCUCUCAGCUUCAACUUGAACGUGAAUAUGAGCAACUGAUCAUCUGUUCUGCAGUCAGCCCCUGGCCUGCUUCUGACUCAUGAUAUUGACCUUCUCCAUCAUCACCUUCCACAAAUUUGAUUCCUGUCUAUUCUGCCUGGAAUGGUUCAUGAGUAUAGUCACCGUUUAUGUUCCUGAUGAAAGCUUAAAUACAGACCAGAAGAGGAGUUUGGGGCUUGACACCUGACAUCUUAACACCAGUUCCUGUUUCUUGAGGAAGGAAGAGGUAAAAUAAAUCAGCGUUUACUGUUUCCUUCUCCAUCCCCGGAAGUCCUGAUGAAGACCCUCUCAGCUUCAACUUGAACGUGAAUAUGAGCAACUGAUCAUCUGUUCUGCAGUCAGCCCCUGGCCUGAUUCUGACUCAUGAUAUUGACCUUCUCCAUCAUCACCUUCCACAAAUUUGAUUCCUGUCUAUUCUGCCUGGAAUGGUUCAUGAGUAUAGUCACCGUUUAUGUUCCUGAUGAAAGGUAUGUGCAAUGAAUAAGUCAUUGGUCUUGCCAAAUUCUAUCAUGUAAGCUUCAUUGUCAUUUCUAUCAUCAAUACCUUAUUUUCCAACUGCUGAUUUGUCUGCUUUGUUUUCAACUUCGCAUUCUAAAUGAUUGAUCAAUGCAUCACAUUUGAUCAGUUUCAAACUGCAUAACUUGGUAAAAACCUUCAACUUGUUCAUCUUUCACAUUCAUGAUUUGUGUGUAAAUUUGAAUAAUAGUCUUAUUAACUGGUCUUCCUGGUAGGCCUGUGGAUAUUAUCCUAUUGCUCGUAAUGUUGUACUUCAGAAAAGAUCUUGAAAUGUUCUUUUUAUCGAUGAAUAUGAUGCCAUUCUCUUCAGUAUCUCAAUCCUGGCAUAGUAGGACAUAUCAUUGUCUAGUUUAAAAUGUCCAAAACCAAGCUAUUUCAGCUAACUAAUGCCUUGGAUUACUGACCUUUAUGCAUUCCAUUUGAUUUUUGAUGACUUCCAAUUUCCCUAGAUUCAUACUUCCUUCAUUCCACAUUCUGAUUAUUAAAGGAUAUUUGCAUCAGUUUCUUCUCAUUAUGAGUUAUGCCCCAUCAGGAAAUGUCAUUAAAGUGGGAUCUACUUUGAGGAGGUAGCUCUUCCCCACUCGUAUUUUGAGUGCCUUCCAACCUAAGGGGUUAUCCUCUGUCAUUCAAUCAGACAGUGUUCCAGUACUAUUUGGAAGAUUUCACUGGCCAGUUUUUUUUAGAAAUAGAUCACUAGGUCCUUUUUCCUAGUCUGUCUAAAUCCAGAGCUCCACUCAAACCUGUCUACCAUGUGUGAACCUGGUGGUAUGUGAAAUACCGGUGGCAUAGCUUCUAACAUCACAGCAACAUGCAAGCCACCACAGUACAACAAACUG
Molecule: long non-coding RNA, 6559 nt
Organism: Loxodonta africana (African savanna elephant)
Lineage: Eukaryota; Metazoa; Chordata; Mammalia; Proboscidea; Elephantidae
Exons: 6
Source: RefSeq, a predicted model, not a curated record